RNAcentral lists this transfer RNA (88 nucleotides) under compost metagenome. RNAcentral describes it as "tRNA-Val". The record is from RNAcentral.
GGCCGGCGGCUGCGUGGCCGGUCUGGCGCCGGCCGGCUGACGGCUGGCCGGCGGCUGGGUGGCCGGUCUGGCGCCGGCCGGCGGCCAC